RNAcentral lists this ribosomal RNA (228 nucleotides) under uncultured bacterium. RNAcentral describes it as "partial 16S ribosomal RNA". It matches the Rfam family "Bacterial small subunit ribosomal RNA", at positions 568 to 795 of the family's 1533-position model. The record is from RNAcentral.
UCCGUAGGCGGGCAAUUAAGUCAGAGGUGAAAUCCCACAGCUCAACUGUGGAACUGCCUUUGAUACUGAUUGUCUUGAGUUAUAGUGAAGUAGAUAGAAUGUGUAGUGUAGCGGUGAAAUGCAUAGAUAUUACACAGAAUACCGAUUGCGAAGGCAGUCUACUAACUGUAUACUGACGCUAAUGGACGAAAGCGUGGGGAGCGAACAGGAUUAGAUACCCUGGUAGUC